AGACUAAACAGGACCCAACAGAGCAGCCAGUGUCCCUGGACUUUUUGAAUCCUGAUCAUUCGAAUUGUGACAUUUCGAUGUUGGGUCUUAAUGUGGGCUGACUUCGCGGCCUGAGCCCUUGCAAGUGACAUUGGCUGGCCAGCGAGUCCCUGGAGUCUGCUGUCUUCACCGGCUGUCACCACUGGGUUACAGCUGUGUGCAACUGUGCUCAGCUUUUACAUAGAUGCUUGGGCUCUACACUGAGGUUCUCAGGCUUGCAUGAAAGCACUCAUCACCCACUGAGCCAUCUCCCCAGUCACAGAUCAGUUAUUCGUUAAUAAAAACUUAUGUAGUUUUAUAUGUAGAGGAAAUUUAUUUUCCCAGCAUACACAUGACUUGUUAAUAAAUAUUGUAUUAAAUUGUGA
Molecule: long non-coding RNA, 404 nt
Organism: Mus musculus (house mouse)
Lineage: Eukaryota; Metazoa; Chordata; Mammalia; Rodentia; Muridae
Product: predicted gene, 35155
Exons: 2
Source: RefSeq, marked validated